Molecule: long non-coding RNA, 209 nt
Organism: Haliotis rubra (blacklip abalone)
Lineage: Eukaryota; Metazoa; Mollusca; Gastropoda; Lepetellida; Haliotidae
Exons: 4
Source: RefSeq, a predicted model, not a curated record
GUGAUGGGACUGUGUCUGAAAUAAAUACUUCAAUUCCUUGCAAACCUUUUGUUGUCGCCUGUUUUACUUUGUUACAAGUAAAGGCGAUGCUCAGGGUUCUUCAACUGGUGCCGUGACCCGGAUCUCCAUUGGAAACGAACUUUCGAGGAGGAAAAAGCUACGUGGAGACUGGCCCGACGAGAAAACGAAAAUGGCUCCACACGUAGUAC